CUCCAUCGCCCUGUAUUUAUUUUAAGUUUGUGUCAAAUUUUGAAAGAAACCCAGCACUAUAGAUUAUGAUCAUUUCUUGUGGGAAAAGUGGCCCCUGACCUACUGUUUACAGUGCUUACAUGCUGGAGUCACAAAAAAAACAUAUCCUGUACAUAAAGACUGGUCAUCCUUGAAUUGUACAGACCCUAAAACUCUUAAUAAGUAGUGUACACAGUUAAUAUAGCAAAUUUUAUAGAUAUACAUUUACCUGAAAAUGUCAUAGUUUUGAUUUGUUUAUGUUUUACAUAAACGUGUGAUUUCAAUGUAUGUAACAGAUGAAAUAUUUUGGAUAGAAGAUUAAUGAUGUACUAGUAUAAGAAAUAGAAAUGUUAUAUACUGGACUCUCUUUUCAUAUCAAUGCAUUAAUUACCACAAGAAAACAUAAUUACCAAAUGGUCAUAAUUAAUUUUUUCAAAAAAUGAAAAAAAAAAUUAUAUCUUGGAAGACAUUCUAUUGUCCAUUAAACAAAGAAAAAAUCUGAGGGGUUGUAUUCAAAAAAACAAACAGGUCUCAUGACUUAAUCUAUUGGUGCAAACAUUGAAUAUUAUUAUAAAAGUCAUGCUCUUUCAGCAACUCAUAUUAUUUUGUUUAGUAUUUGUGAAUUAUUUUCAGUGAUCAAGUUAACAUGUAUGUGCAAAAAGCCAUACAUUAUAUGUUUUUUCUGUAGUUGAAUCUCUGUAAUGGGAAAAUCCCUUUAUACUCCAGACCUCAAGACCAUAGACUGAGAACAGACUGAUUUCAAAAUUUUUAAUAUCUCCAGUUGUAUUUACCUAAUGUGUUAUUAAAAUUUGCAGGUUUAAUAAGAAAACAUAAAAUUCUUAAAUAUGUUGAGAAUUUAGUUUCAUUUACAAAGUGAUUUUAAAAUUUUCAGUGAUUUGAAGUCGGUUUUCAGUUUAUGGUAAAGCGGCCAGGUACUACAUGUAGUUUCAGAGAAACAAUCCUACCUCAUCAGGAGUCUAUCAAUACAGUGUUAUUUUAAACUUUUAUGGAUGAAAUUGUAGUUUGGGGUAUAAAUUGCAUUAAUUUGUAGAGCAUUUAAAAGAGUAAGGAAACCAAUAAGAAUUGUAUAUUUUUUGGUUCAAUGUUUAUUAAAGAUGACACAUUUAAUUAGAUUUAAAUUCUUGAUUUUCAAAUUUUGUAAUAUUUUAUUUGUUUUAUUUUGUAACCUUUAAUUUUUGAUACAUGACAAUUUUUUGACAGAAGUUUUGGACAUUACAUACAUACAAGUAGUAUAUUUUAGCUAGAAAUAGUGGAUUAUCAAAAGUUAAAUGUGUUCAGUUUAGUGUUCAGAAUCUCUUAACAAAAACAAAACAUGCACAGACUUAAGAUGUGCUCUGAAGAUAGGAGAAAUUAUCCUUCAUUAAAUAUGUUCAUGUUUUACUGUAGAUGAUAUUAAAACUGUAAUUCAGGACGAGCGAUGACCCCUCCCCUCGUGUUGUACAGUAGAUUAUGUGAUACUAACUACUGAGUAGAAACGAACUGUCUUAAGGUGCUUCCCAAGUUUUAAGUUAUGCAACUUUGUUUUGUAGUCUAGAAUUGUUAUGUUUGCUUCAUUAAUAAAUAAUUAAAAUCCCUACCUUAAA
Molecule: long non-coding RNA, 1622 nt
Organism: Saccostrea cuccullata (small rock oyster)
Lineage: Eukaryota; Metazoa; Mollusca; Bivalvia; Ostreida; Ostreidae
Exons: 2
Source: RefSeq, a predicted model, not a curated record